RNAcentral lists this long non-coding RNA (19580 nucleotides) under Ananas comosus (pineapple). Its description in RNAcentral is "long non-coding RNA (ACOM_LNC033980)". The record is from RNAcentral. Lineage: Eukaryota; Viridiplantae; Streptophyta; Magnoliopsida; Poales; Bromeliaceae.
UCAAAGCUUCAAUUUUUUAUUUGUAGACUCUGAGGUUAUUAGUCUGUGUAGUGUAUAUUAAUUAGUCAUAUAUAGUGCUAUUCUAAGGGUUUUUUUUUUUAGUUAAAUCAUUUUGUUGGUAUUGAAGCUUAUCUAAUUAUAAUGAAAAAAAAUAUUUAGUUAAAGAAAAAACAUACGAAAAUAUGCUUUCCUAUUUUUCAAUAAAAUUAUAAAAACUAUAUUUUAAUCGACUCAUUUUGAUGAGCGCAAUCAUAAACGGAGUCUAAUUGUGAAUAAGUGAUAUGCCGAAUUAGAUAGUAUGUGUACAUGUAUAUGAUUCGUUCAUGUGUUCAAUCUAAAGGUCUCGUAUAUGUUUACGCAUAAGUUACUUACAUACUAGGGAAAUACUCUUGGAAUACUUUUUUUAAAAAAAAAAUUAAUGGAUACACUGGGUACAGGCAAUAGUAUUUCUCCAGUGAGAAGCUUCAUGGGGUUCAUGCACAAACUCAAUGCACGCGCGUCCAUCUAACGGUCGUUAUUGAUCGUGCCCGCAAUGUACGGUCGAUUGGACCCUCCCGGCACGCGUGAGAGCGUGCGAUGAUGGGAAGGGGCGUGGUGGUGUUUUUGGUUCCCCGUAGCGGGGAAUUAAACAACGCCAAAAUGAUUAAGCAUUAUAUAAUAAUAACACCACACGGUUUAUUCCAUAAUUUGUGUUUACCUAAAUACUCGCCGGGAAACCGGCUGUUGCCGGUACGAAAUCCUACGUGGACCAUCGGUGGGCCCCGCCACUACCCAUUUCCUUCCUUCGGUUGAAGCGUUAAAAGUUAGUUGAGACGCCACUAGGGGAGAGGAAACACUAAAAAAAUUGUACAACGACCCCCUCGAUUGUAAGCUGUUUUCAUAUACAUCCUUUACCCUACAAUUUUAUUCAAUAUUUCAAAAAUGUACGAAGUCACAUAAAUUUAGGGGCCUAGUUCAAAAUUGGCUGUUGUUGAGGCGGUCCGUGUACAUUUUUACCAUAGGGGAAUCUGGGGGAAACCGUUAUAACGGCGUCAUAACGGGGGGUGGGCACAGCUUUUAACCGUGGUUAAGUAGGAGGGAAACGAUACCCAAAUCUCUCUAUAAAAAUGGCGCUUCUUUCGCAUUCCCUCCAGCUGCGCUUUUUCUCUUCUUCUCCAAGCUAGAGAGAGAGAGAGAGAGAGAGAGAGAGAGCUCUGAAGCUUCGAUAAUGGCGGCGGCGGCUUCUUCUAUUAGGGCUCCUCUGCUUCUUCUUCUUCUUCUUCUAGGGCUUCUGAUGCUUAUAAUGGGAGCCGUUGGGUGGAUUCAACGCGAAAACCUCGUCAAUUCCAGGUACAUUUCUCUCGAUUAUCGUCUCAUUCGCGAUUAAUUAGAAAUUAAUUAACGGAAAUGUAGCAAUUACCUGUUCUUCGUGUUAUUACUAUUCCAGGAUUAGCAGCGGAGGAGCUUCUAGAAGGCUCCUGAGAGAGUCCAUGGCGAAUGAGACCUCUUCUUCUUCUACCCCGGAGAGGUGAGUUGGAGUUGGAGAGCGCUUCCCCUUCUCUUUAGAUCUCGCCCGUUGGUUUUCGUGCUGAGUGGAUCUGGAUCGUUGCUUCGUUGUCGCCCGUUCGUUAAUUUGCUCCUCCAAUCACGGCUUUGCUUUUCCGCUUUACUGGGGAAAAGGCAAAAAGAGCUACUUAAAAUAUUACUUAUUUUUUAUUCUCAUUGUUCUAAAUAUUAUUUAUUUAUUUAUUUAUUUAUUGAUUCUUUGGAAUUUAUAGCCGCGACCGUUUUGCCGCUUCGGUCGUUGGAGAUUCUCCUCCCGAGGUGGCAUCGCUGCGACAUAAUAACUAAAUAAUAUAUUUACUAUCUCUUGUGACUUGUAUUUUUCUUUUUUAAAAAUUUUUAUUUACAGUUUUUACGUAUUAAUUUGUAGUUUUGUGAGACUAUAAUAAGAGAUUAAUUUAAUCAAGUUACUUAAAUUCCGUUACUUUAAUUUGGACUCCUCGUUUGUACAGGCCAGUGGUGGGUGCUGUAGAUGACCCCGAAGAAGUUGCUUCCAUGGUAGGAAUGUACGUACAUUCUUAUUCAUAUAUAUAUAUUUAUACUUAUCUAUUUUGUUUUUCCCUUGAAGCUGUUUAAUUAGAUUCGUAUUUUGUAUUUAUCAUUCAACUUCAACUAUUAUUAUAAAGAAUAGAUUGUUUUUGUAAGGGAAAAAAAAAGGCAAAUUAAUAUUGUGAAUUUACUAAAGCCAAUCAAUCACCCGUGUAACAUGUGAGCCCGAAUCAAUCACCAGCUCAUCGGAUUCCAAUUUAACCCAAAUAAGGUUCGGGUCCGAUCCAGGGCUCGUUCUCAACACAAUCACGUGACCAUAGACUACGAAGAGUUUGAUAACUAAUAUUUUGAUUAAAAAAAAAAAACAAACAAACAAAAAAACCAUAAAGGGCUCUGCACUAAUUCACGUUGUUCUGCAACUACUAGCCCGUUCCCACGAAAGAGGUACACCCCCUACCCCUCUCGAAUUUAAUGAAGAGUGGGCUCAUUCAAUUCCAACCGCAUGGUAGCUCCAGCGACGUUCAUGAUCCAAAUCAUUGCGUGAACCUGGUCCAUCAUGUCAAUCAUAGACCGUCAAAAGAGUUUAUUAUUCAUUUCAUGUGACGCCCAAUUUCUUAUAGAGUCACCAUCCUAGUACUACUCCUGUCCAAGCAAGUACUGUUCUCUUUACUUUUUAGGAGUUGGGCCUAGCCACCGUCCAAAAUACUUAAAUCGGAUUUAGAGUUUUAACCUUAUUAUAUAGUAUAUAUAAAAUUAUUUGAGGUCUCACAUUUCACCUGCUAUUUUAAUUCUCAUUGCAUAACAAAUGCUGCACCCGUAGAUGAUGUGGCGGACCUGGUCUAUGCGUAGUUUCAUGUGGGCACGGCUACCUCUUCUGAAUUGUACUUGCAAUGCCCUUCCAUUAACUCCGCUCACAUCCGCAAGUAGUUUCAUUGUUUAAUUUGAGAUGUUUGAGUUAAUACAAUCUAGUUUAAUUCAGCUUAAUUAGAUUUAACAUAAUUCAGGAGCGUCAAAAACAGCACGGCGCGGCGCGCCCUCAGCAGCAGCAGUUACCUGUCGGGGUGCGGCACGGGCAACCCGAUCGACGACUGCUGGCGGUGCGACCCCGAUUGGCACCUCCACCGCAAGCGGCUCGCCGAUUCUACCGCGUGACCGACCCGGGCGACGACGACCCCGUGACACCCCGCCCGGGCACGCUGCGCCACGCCGCCAUCCAAUCGGAGCCGCUGNGACGGCCGAUUCUACCGCGUGACCGACCCGGGCGACGACGACCCCGUGACACCCCGCCCGGGCACGCUGCGCCACGCCGCCAUCCAAUCGGAGCCGCUGUGGAUCGUGUUCGAGCGCGACAUGGUGAUCACGCUCAAGCAGGAGCUCAUCGUGAACAGCUUCAAGACCAUCGACGGGCGCGGCGCCAACGUGCACAUAGCCGACGGCGCCUGCGUCACGGUGCAGUACGUGACCAACGUCAUCAUCCACGGCGUCCACAUACACGACUGCCGCCCGACGGGCAACGCCAUGGUGCGGAGCUCGCCGACGCACUACGGGUGGCGGACGAUGGCCGACGGCGACGCCGUCUCGAUCUACGGCUCCAGCCACGUGUGGGUCGACCACUGCUCGCUCUCCAACUGCGCCGACGGCCUCAUUGACGCCGUCGCGGGCUCCACCGCCAUCACCAUAUCCAACAACUACUUCACCCACCACAACGAGGUACAUGUACAUAUUGCAAUAAUAUCUCCCGAACAGUUCUAUUAAUGUUCGACUUGUUUAAUUACUAACCGGUUAAAAUAUGUAUAGGUGAUGUUAUUGGGUCACAGUGAUUCGUACGAGCAAGAUAAGGCCAUGCAAGUAACGAUUGCGUUCAAUCAUUUUGGCGAGGGCCUAAUUCAGAGGAUGCCGAGGUAAUAAUGUAAUAAUAAUAGUGGGUGACUCCAUGCUCUGCAUUCUGAUAGGGUGAUCGAUUAAUUUGUAGAGGAUGGAUUAGUAAUGCUAAAUUGUUUGUUAAUUUGGGGAUUGGAAAAUUAACGACAGGUGCAGGCACGGGUACUUUCACGUCGUGAACAACGACUACACGCACUGGGAGAUGUACGCCAUCGGAGGGAGCGCGAAUCCGACCAUCAAUAGCCAGGGCAACCGCUACCUCGCCCCCGGCAACCCCUUCGCCAAAGAGGUAAACCAACUUUACCAAAUGUUUACAUGAUGCAGCAUUGCCGCAGAACUUUGAACCUCUAUUUCAAUUUGAUGAGCUAUACCCAAACUCUAUUUGACUUCUCUGAUUAGAUUAUAGAGGCAUUAAUUACAAUGAAAAUUGUGAUAUAACAGUUGAUUAUACUUUAAUCAUCACAUCAUCACAGAAUGAUAUGAUGAUAGGUGCAUUAUUUAUUACGCUAUUUUGAAUUCGAAGAAUAUAAAUAUAUACAUAAAGGUAACGAAGAGGGUGGAGACAGAGGAGAGCGUGUGGAAGAGCUGGAAUUGGAGGUCGGAAGGGGACCUGAUGCUAAACGGUGCAUACUUCACCCCGUCGGGGGCUGGCGCCUCCGCGAGCUACUCGCGGGCAUCUAGCCUCGGAGCCAGGCCUUCCGACAUGGUCGGCGAUAUCACUUCUGGCGCCGGAGUCCUCUCCUGCCGCAAAGGGAAGUCGUGCUAGCUAAUGUACGCGACAAGCACGGCCGCCGCACAGUUCCGUUCUUUCUUUCUUUUUUUAAAAUUUUCUGCAGCAGCUAUAGAUUUGUGCGAUAUUUUUUAUGCAGCAUAGUCGUAUUUAUAUUUCGAUGUUUUUGUUUUCUCGCAACCUCUGCCUGCUUCUGUUGGAUUAUUGCGUGGCUAAUGCGGCAGUGUUGUUAAAUUUUACAUUUUCCUUUGUGACUAGAAUCCAUGUCCAUUGCUAGUACACUCACAAAUUGGCAAUUGUAUGGAUGGUAUAUAUAGUGUAAUAGCUGCAUAUAUAUAUAUAUGUUUGUGUAUUAAUCUUCUUAGAUUGAUGUGUAGGCAACUUAGUCCAAUUUUCUCUUUUCUGAAUGGAAUGUGACAUGAUUUUGUUGGUCACCAACCAUUUCCGGUGACUCGAGCAUAGCAUCUUUUUCGCAAGCCCUUGUCAUUUCCAAGCCUCUCUAUCCAGUUUUGCUUUGAUUUGAGGAGUACAUUCGAAACCUGGAACAGUAAACAUCAUCUUGACGAUCCUACAGCCACGCCGAGUAGAGCAUCUAUGUUGAGAUUAAACUCCUGUUCUAGUGCAUAAAUAGAGAGUAAGAUGUUAUAUCGGGCCUUGGCCCGGUCAGUUCUAGGCCCAAAAGGGGUGUGUAUGUUCACAUAAUUUGUACACGAAGAGCUUCUUUUUAGCCCAUAUAUGUAUACACAAGGCCUUGUAUCCCCAGGGAGAUUGAGCAAAAUAACUUGGUUCCCCUAUAAUAUUGAUCUUAUCUUAUAGACAGUAAAUAAGUACAACAUAGUUAUUGAUCCUGCACAUCAAAUUAAAUAGUUUAUAUCAUAUACGCAAGCAACGUCAAAAUCAUAUAUCGACGACUUAAUUUACAGCGACCAACAACAGUACCUUGUGCGUGGAAUUUUUUGUACCUAUAUACAUGACAAGUACCACAUAGUCAACAGUGAUUUUAUGAGAAGAGAUUGUCACGUCUAAGUUGGUGUCAUCUGUAGAAGCCAAGCCCUCUUGAUUCUUCUGGGAGCCCCAGCAAUGGACACCAGUUCGAGCCACGCAAACAUGACAAGACGAAGCCUACAAAACUUAUAUAUAUGUAUAUACACUGAUACACACACACACACACACAAAAAGGCAUUAAUUAGUAAGCAACCGAUAAUCUUACUUAGAAGCUAUUUAUUAAUUCGGAUAAAUUAAGGAAAAAAUGGUCUGAUUAUUCGAAUAAAUUUUCUCUAGUUUUCGUGCAAAUUUUUUUUCUACAUUUUUGGUGAACUAUUUAUUUGGAAGAUAAGAGUGGUUUCAACUAAUAAUGUCAAUUCUAAAAAUAAAAAGAUCGCGGGAUGUAUAAGAAUAUGAUAUCUUGGCGCUCGUCAUGCAGCUUGGAAUCCGAGGCAAAAAAAAAAAAAACCAUUCAACUUGAUCCCCGUUUAUAUAACAGGGUUCGGCCACAUUGAGCAUAAUUAUUUUGCUAAUAAUUAAUAGAGUUUGUUAGGUUGAUUCUGGUGGGUUGAUAUUGGUAUAUAUGUUUAUAUUGAAUUGUUAAAUAUUAUACAGCAUUUGAUGUACUUUUUUCUUAAAUAGAGCAAUGAGAUGGUCUUUAUUUAAUUUGACGCACAAUGUAAUAUUCUAGUUUCUAAAGAAAUGUGUUAUUUUGAAAAUAGUUUUUACACUUUAUUUAUUCUAAAAUUUAUAUUCUUCAUUUGAAUCUUAUUAAUGUAUAUAAUUAAAAUUUUAUUUAAAAUUUAUUAUUUAUUCUAAAAUUUAUAUUCUUCAUUUGAAUCUUAUUAAUGCAUAUAAUUAAAAUUUUAUUUAAAAUUUAUAAAUUUUAGAAUAAAAAAAUAUCUAUAAAUAAAAAUAUAUAGAUACUUUUUUUUAAAGAUAAUUGUUUAUAUGCCCCUCAUAAGUUUAAAAAUAUCCGAUUUAUUUCUAUCUUUUUUUUUUCUUUCUAAAAUAUCAUUCAUAUGUUCUACCGUUAUUGCAAAAUAUUCCCGCAGUUAUCUCAUGUUAGGUUAACUUGAGUUAAAUGUGAGUUAAAUAUCUACCAUAGUUAAAAAAAAUUAAAAUUGAAAGACCAAACGUCAAAAUACUUUUGGUGCCCUUGACUUUAAGGGUGCGUUUGGUUUGCAUUAUGAAAGAUUACUAGGAAUAAAAGAUAUCCGAGAAUCUUAUUCCUAUUCAUUCUAUUACUAAGAAUGUGGAAUUCCUAUGUUUGGUUCGCACGGUAAUAUUAAUUAGCCAUGUUAUUUAAUAUUACAAAAAAUAUAUAAUUAAUUGAUUUAUUUAUUUAAUUAAUUUUAGAUAAUGUUACCAAAAAUUUCAACAUCUUUUUAGAAAAAAGGGAGAGAGAGUAUAAGUUAGAUAGAGAGAGCAUAAUUAAAAAAAUAGAAAGAAAAAUAUAGUCAAAUUAGAGAGAGUGAGAGAGUUGAAAUUUUAGAAAGAGAGAGAGAGAGAGAGAGAAAGCUUAGUUUAGAGAGAGAAAAAAAAAAGUUGAAUUUUAGAGAGAAAAAUAAGUUUAGAGAGAGAUAUAAAGUUAGAGUGUAAAGACAAAUAAUAUCAAUUAGCCGGCGGGUAGGAAGAAAGAAAGAGAUAAGACAUAUUAUGAUUACCCCAAUUCAUUAAUAUGAGGAUACCCACCCUCCCUAAAGGGAAUGAGAUUAGUACUUUAGGGUGAAUCUUAUUCCCAAGUGAAUCCAAUAUUAUCAACUAGAUUACUUAGUGCGCUUAACCAAACACCGUCAUAAUUUUUUAUUUCCAUUGGAUUACUAGGAAUCUUUAAAAGAUAGCGCGAACCAAACGCACCCUAAGAGCAAAUAAGAAAGUCAGUAAUUGUGAAAAGGUACAUUUGAAAGGACAAAAUAAUAAUUUUACAGAAAUAACAUAGUUCAUUAACGAUUUUAACUUUAUGAGUAUAUUAGGAAUAGGUUGGAACGUAGAAAAAAUAUUUUGAAUAUUAAUUUUUUAAGAAAAAUAAAUUGAAAAGUCAAAAAUAUUUCAAAAGUAUAUAAAUAAAUUUUUUUUUUUAUUUAUAAGAAUAAAAAUAGAGAACAAUAGAAAGGACAAAACAUCAGAUGGACGCCCACACCUACCAGCGAACAAGCCAAGUAGUCAGCGUCCACAGUCUCUAGUCUCUACCCGUCCCUCCUCUUUUCACACUAUUUAGCGAACUAAUAAUUCAAAGUCCUCACCUACACCAUUAUUCACACUCAUCAUGUCCGCAUACUAAUUAAGUGUUAUCUCGUAUACAAAAAAAAAAGAAAAAGAAAAAGAAUUAUGUUUCAGAUUGAUAAUAUUGCUCAUCAGUCAACAAAUAUAGUUAAGCUGUUCAUAUUAAAUAAUUCACUUACGUUCCAUCACUGAUCAACACUAAAAUUAAUAACAUUUAUUAUCUCUACACACUGAUUGAUAAAGCCCGCGCAAAUGCUUAAGUGGGAUAUAUCCCAUCAUUGCGGUGUAUGCAAGUGGGUUAUUUGGUUGAGCACUGAUCUUCUAAUAAGCUCUUAUUAAACUCUAUAAAAGACAACAAUCUUUUUUUCUAAAAACAUAAAAAAGGAGAAAAAUAAUGAAAAAGAGAAAUUUAAAAAAGCCACCUCAAAAUUCCAACCAUCUCCACUCUCAAAAACCCUACUACUACUACUACUACUACUACUACUACCAUACCAGUUUUAGUACUCACCUACUUUUCUUUUUAAUUAGUGCUAAAAUAACCAAAAGAAAAAAGAAAAGAAAAGAAAAGAAAAGAAAAGGAAAAUCUCUCCUCCUCCUCCUCCUCGGCUCCUCCUCUUCUUCAGAAUAAAUCAAAAUCAAAACCCCACCUUUUCUCCUUCCACACUCUUCUCCUCUCUCUCCUCGAGGCUCCAACGACAAUGUCUUCUUCGCCAUUGAUGAGCACUCCCCUCCGCCUCCUCCUCUUCUUCUUCUUCUUCUUUUUCUUCUUCCUCGUCGUCGUCCCCGUAUCCUCAUCGGCCAUGUCCUCGGACGUGGCCCUGCUGCUGGAGAAGAUAAAGCCGGCGCUGCAAGGACCGUCCUUGACGAACCCGGAGCUGGCGACGUGGAACGCGUCGACGCCGCUGUGCCUGUGGCGCGGCCUCCGAUGGUCGGCAUCGUCGGCGCCGGUGCCGUGCUCGGAGGCGGGGGUGCGGUCCAACCUCUCCCUCGUGUACGAGCCGACCCUCCAACUCGUCUCCCUCCGCCUGCCCGCCUCCGCCCUCUCCGGCUCCCUCCCCCCGGAGCUCGGCGCCUUCUCCUCGCUCGAGUCCCUGCUCCUCCCCGUCAACUCCCUCUCCGGGCCCGUCCCCCUCGAGCUCGCCAACUCCCCCUCCCUCUCCCAGCUCGACCUCGCCUCCAACUCCCUCUCCGGCGCCCUCCCCGCCUCGCUCUGGAACCUCUGCGACCGCCUCGUCUCCCUCCGCCUCCGCGCCAACGCGCUCUCCGGCCCCGUCCCCGACCCCGCCGCCCCGGGCUCCCCCUGCGACCGCCUCCGACUCCUCGACCUCGCCGAGAAUCGCUUCGACGGGCCCUUCCCCCUCUUCCUCACCGGCUUCCGCGCCCUGCAGGAGCUCGACCUCAGCGCCAACCGCUUCUCCGGCCCCGUGCCCCCCGAGCUCGCCCAGCUCCGCGGCCUCCAAAGGCUGAACCUUUCCUACAACAACUUCUCCGGCGAGCUCCCCGCCGCGCUCUCCCGCUCCCAGUUCGGCGCCGCCGCGUUCCAGGGCAACGACCCUUCCCUCUGCGGGGCUCCGCUGAGGAAGUGCGGGUCCGGCUCCGCGGGCCCGAGCUCCGGCGCCAUCGCCGGGAUCGUGAUCGGGACCAUGGCCGGGGCCGUGGUGCUCGCCUCCGUCUCGAUCGGGUGGGUGCAGGGGCGGAAGAGGAAGAGCCGGGGACUGGGCAAAGGGGAAGGCGACGACGACGGCGACGACGGCUGCAUAGAAAUGGAGGCAGGGCACGAAGGGGACGAGGGUAAGCUCAUUGUGUUUCAGGGCGGUGAGCACCUUACUCUAGAGGACGUGCUAAAUGCUACAGGGCAGGUGAUGGAGAAGACGAGCUACGGGACUAUCUACAAGGCGAAGCUCGCCGAAGGAGGCAACAUCGUGCUUAGGCUGCUGCGCGAAGGGAGCUGCGCCGACACGGCUUCGUGCUUGCCCGUAAUUCGGCAGCUCGGGCGGGUUCGCCACGAGAAUCUGGUCCCCCUGAGAGCGUUCUACCAAGGCAAGAGAGGGGAGAAGCUGCUCAUACACGACUAUUUCCCUAACAGAACGCUCCAUGAUCUACUUCACGGUACUCGGCUCGCACUCAUUACCGCCAUCUAUCGCAGCUGUGUUGUCGAUCACCGAGUGUUUGGUUUAAUGCUGCUGAGAAAAUUGUUGUUUAUGGACUAAGUGUUUGGUUUAAUUUAAUGCUGCUGCAGAGAGUAGAGCCGGGAGGCCGCUGCUCAACUGGACGCGGCGGCAUAAGAUAGCGUUGGGGAUCGCGAGGGCGCUCGCGUACCUUCACACCGGUCAGGUAUGAAAAGAACCAUUUCCCGUGAAAGCUUAAAUACGUAGCGGCAGUGAUACUAAUAGAGCACAAAUUUUCACUGAUUAUUAACAAAACAGAUGCAUUGAACUUAGUUUGUAAAACCGUAUAUGUCAAUUGAUGGUUCUUAUUCAGUUCUAAUACCAUAUGAGGUAAUUGAGUUCUCUCUUAAGCUGUCGAAGAACAACUUUGUAACGUUCUCGUGCUUAACAACAGGAGACGCCAAUUGCCCACGGCAAUGUGCGGUCGAAGAAUGUGCUUGUGGACGAGUUUUUCGUGCCGCGGCUAACUGAAUUCGGGCUCAACAAACUACUAGUCCCUGCAGUCGCCGAUGAGAUGGUAUCGGCCGCCAAAUCUGACGGCUAUAAAGCGCCCGAGCUGCAGAAGAUGAAGAAGUGCAACCCUAGGACCGAUGUGUACGCCUUCGGUAUACUGCUUUUAGAGAUUUUGAUGGGCAAGAAGCCGGGAAGGGGAGCUGGGAAGGGGAGCGGGGAGGGGUCCGACCUACCGGCGUUAGUAAAGGUGGCGGUGCUCGAGGAGAACACGAUGGACGUGUUCGACGUGGAGAUUUUGAAGGGGAUAAGGAGCCCGACGGAAGAAGGGCUCGUGCAGGCGUUGAAGCUCGCCAUGGGCUGCUGCGCGCCCGUGGCUCAGGUCCGGCCCGACAUGAACGAAGUCGUGAAGCAGUUGGAGGAGAAUAGGCCGAGGAAUCGGUCCGCGCUCUACAGCCCUGCCGAUACUAGGAGUGAAAUUGGUACACCCUUGUGAUUGUUGUUGUCGAAACCUUUAUCUUAUGGUAAUUGAUCAAUAGAAUUGGAUUAAUUUCAAUGAGCCUUCUCAAAGGAAAAAAAAGAAAAAAAUGCUGCUAUGAAAUUAGAGAAGAUUCAAGAUGGUAAGGAUUAAAGUCUCCUUGUUGGUUAUUAUUCUACUUUUAGCAACAACAUUUUACCACUGUAUAUCGAAGAUAUAUAUAUAUAUAUAUAUAUAUAUAUAUAUAUAAGGUCGUUUCAAGUUGUAGUCAGGCCGAAACACGAUGGCUCAAAAGGUGGCAAUAUAAAUUGAAAAACUGAUAAAAGUGGGCAAUCUGAUAUGAUAAGUUGAUUGUUGAAUUAAGAUCUCUCGGGUGUAGUAGGAUUAGUAUGUAAAGAAGUAGUAGGGAUGUUGAAUUAAGAGAGAUUGAUGGUUUAUAACUUGUCUACAUAUAAGGCCUCUAUUUUGCUCUGUUAAUUUAGGUCAUCCUCUGUUAAACAGCUUGUUCUUGUUCUUUGAAAUGAUCAAAUUGCGCAUCGCCAUUUAUUCGUACAUUCUAUGUCUUUAAUAUUUACUUAGCCGGUGUAACAGGCUCUUUUAUUGUGGUCCAUAGUUUACCUGGGCUACAUGGCUCAUCUAAUUUGAUUAUGUUUAUUAUCUAUAGCUAUGUUGUUAAGUGGUUGGUGCUUCUUGUUAUAAUUAAUCAUCUUGUGAUUCUUUAGAAUAAACAAGCUUCUUUGUUCAUGGAUUCCAAUUGUUAAUAUUGAUCUUAAAGUUAAAAGUGAGACUUUAGUGAAAUGUUUCUUUCUUAUAAAUAUAUAUGGGAGGAAAUUGGUUGGUAGGAUCAGUAUGUAUAGCUGGAUCCAAAUCAAUGAACUUUUUAAUAUUGUUUAUGCACAAGUUGAUGUACAAACUAGAGUUCGUACCAAGCUCACAGUGAAGAAAAGCUUCACUAGAUAAUUUAAAAGGGGCCCAUAUAAAGUGUCCUGUGAUGUUUCUUUUCACUGUGGACUUAAUAAAGGAACAUUCCUCAUGGUGUUCCCUUAUUUUAAAAAGAGAGAGAGAAAGGAAAAAAGGAUCGACUUGCUUUGAUGUGCUUAUGGUUUAUCAGACCCACAUGAAUGAUCACUUUAGACUCAAAAGAUAAAAGCAUGAGGAUUUUUUUAAAAUAUCAAAUCAAAGCUUUUUUAGAAAAUAUUGUAAUAAUUUAGUCUACUAAUACUAAUAAUCAAACUUUAAUAAGUAUUUUGACCGGUAACUUGAGUUAUGUAUAUGAUUGGAUUGAAUAGAAUUACAAAACAUAUCAUGUCGAAUAAUAUGAGAAAUAAAUGGUUGGGGAACCAAAAAAAAAAAAAAGGGCACGGAUCGACAGGGUUGAAUUAAUGUGUCCCUGUCACUUAGUUGGUGACUCUGUUGUCAACCUUGGAACAGUUGACUGAUAGAAAGAAAAGAGGGUAAUGAUGACGUGGCUGUUGACUUAUUCUCCCGAUUGUGUGAUUGGGCGGGACAUGUCACGUCCCUAACUACCCACUUUGGGAUAAAGCAAUAAAUAUCAUUCCCAUGUUGUGUGGGGGUAAACCCAUAGAGGAAAGGAAAAUAAUUUGAUAGGGACCAUGAAGAACAUGAGAUUUCAACGUGUUUCUGAUACUAUGUUUUAUAUUAAUUAAAAAUGAUAUAUAUUUUAAUUAUUUAUGUUGAAUAUGUACUUGAAUUACCCAAACAAAUAACGAGUAUGUACGUAGGCUAGUAUAUAUCCUCUACUCGAUUGGAUAAUAGGUUCUGAAUUUGAAUCUCAUGGUUGGUAUGUAGAAAACUCUGGUUUACAAACAUCGCGAUAAUUAACUUAAUUGUCGUGUCAGUGAUAAGAACAAUAUAGGUCGGAAUGAUUAGUGAGUUUGAGAGAUCCAGACAUCAAAUUAAAUUGCUUCUAACAAGUAAUUAAUCGUGUUAAUCUUAAAUAAAGUGAGAACUAAGAAGUCGAAAUUUAUCCAGUAGCUAGCAUUUGAUAUUUGCGGAGCUACGCACAAGAGUUCCUUAAAUAGUAUGAAUAAUUAUAGUCAAUUGAUCUGCAUAAUCGCAAUCCAAGUGUUCAUGUUUUCACAUUUCUUUUUACAGAAAUAAAACUACUGCAAAUUCUAGUUGAACACAGCACUCGAGAAAGAAUUUUCAUGAAUAUACAUCGAUCGCAUUCAUCGCGUGUGUUGGCACGUAUCCUUGAUUGCACGUAUGCAUGUGCAAUCUGCGUGAAAUAUUGUUAUGAUCAUGGUGAAGUUAGAAGGAUUAAAUGACCAUGCAUUAACAAUCAUAAUGUACGUGGUUCGACUACGUCUCUCCUAAAGUUGGUUAAUCCUCUUUCAAGUUAUGAUCCUUCUUGCGUGGUUUUGAGUGAUCGACUCUUAUUAAAAAGGACAUUCAUGAGUAUGCAAUUUUAUAACAACUCAAAUGUACAUAAAAUCUCUUAUCGUUUGUUAUUAUUCUAGUCUAAAAAUUUUCUGAUGACACGCAAAGUCGAUCCCUAACUUCUCCAUCUAUCAGAUGUUCGUAAUAAGUCAAUUUACAUAAUAGCAUAAAUAUUUUACCAUCUUUUCUUGGUCUACUACUUUGCAAUGAACAUCUAACCAGUAACUUAAUACGGUAACCUAUUAAUUUGUUGCAAACAUUUGCAAACUGUGUUCAGAUGUUUUCUUCUUAAAUGUCUAGGUUCGUCGAAGAUAUCUUCGGAGAUACCAUUUAUUCGAUCAACCGAAUAGUUACUUACACUGUGACCUGUAAUGGUUUGCUGAAUAAAUUCACUGUGUCAAGUGGAUUUCCUCAAAGAUAUUGUUUCACGCAUGAAAUCAAAUGCUUCUGUGAUUUUUUUAAGUAAAUGCUUAUUUUGCAAUAUAGGAGUAAGUCAAAGCAUAUAAAUCUACUAGAGCUAGUGACUGAAAACCUUCUAUUUGAAGCUUUCGUGUUUCUUGUUUUGUCACUAUGGACAACUAAGUAGUUUGUUGGAAAAGUUGAUGUUUCUAUUCGAAUGGAAUCGGAGAAAAGUGGAGAUAAUAACUCUUUAAUGAAGAAGAGAGUAAGGGGGGAUGCAUUGAAGUACUUCCGGAAAGAAAAAUUGCCAUGAAUGUAUGCACAUAAUGUUAGAAGAUAUGCAUAAUUAUCUUCUUUUCUUUUCUUUUUUUUUUUGAAUUUCAAGUUUGGUGUGCAUGUAAGGGGAAACAAGAUCCAUUAGGAAACUAGGGUUUACAAUUCACAAACUACUAUAAAAGGAGAAACUUCUCACAACCACAUCUCAUCCUUCUCUUUGCUUCAAUCCCCCAUGUGGUAUGUUGGCUAUUAUCUUUUCCUUUUUUCUUAUCGUACCUUGUCUAGCUCUCUAAUCGUUGAAAAGAUUUGUGCUCGAAACGUCUUGUUAAUAUCAUCCAUCUCAUUCACCUUUUACUUAUUUCUUGGCUUGCUUUUAUUCUUUUCUAAUUUGGUUCAAAUUGUUAACAAAAACACUAGAAGAGAAAUCAUGGAAGGAGACUACAACGAGGAGAGAAGGUUCCCGUGCAACUACUGCGACCGCCUAUUCAUGAGCUCGCAAGCAUUGGGCGGCCAUCAAAAUGGCCACCGGAGAGAGCGCGAGGCUGUGAAGAAGGCUCAACAAGAAGCUCAUCUCCUAGCCAUGCAAAUGCCACCACCUCCCCCACAAUCUUUAGAAGUACCAUCUUACCCGCCCGCGACCAAUAACCCCCCCCACCAACCCUUACAAUACAACCCUCAAAACUAUGUGCACUCUCCGACUUGUCACGCCAAUCGUUUGAUCUCGAGACAUUCUUAUUACCAAACUCAUCGACCGCCAUAUUGCACCCACCAAGCAUCAGGGGCUCCUGUCGUGCUUACCCCAAGGUUUGCUCCUAGAUAUUCUUCUACUUCUUCAUAUAAUAAUAUUGGAGGAAUUGCAAGGGAUGAAGAUCUUAUUAGAUUCCCUUCUAGAUAUCCUACUAGCAUGCAAAAUUUUGGUGUCGAAGACCCUAGGAUUACUUCAAGAUUCCAUUCCACUUGCCCACAUGUAGUAGGAAUGGCAAGAGAUGAAGAGCAAAGGAGGUUUAUGAUCUUGAAUAGGAAUUUGAGUGAUAACAAUGGUGCACCCUCUACAAUAGGAGAAGAGAGGGGAAAUGUGGUGACGGCGGGCCCGUCAACUGCGAACCAGGGAGCUGACAUGGAUUCUAAUGCAAUCAACAACGGCAAGGAUGAGGUCGAGAACGAGAUCGACCUUACUCUCCGUUUAUGAAGGCAUAUUUUUUAAGAGUAAUAAGAUCAGAAUUUUCUUCUGGCAUGUUUGUUUGUUUGUUGUUGUUGUUCUUUUAAAUUUCAAUCCUCAUUUAGCAGUUUGCGCAAUGGCCCAAACAUGUUAUGAACUUGCUUUGCUUCUUUAUAGGUUAUAGUUGUGUCAAUGCAUCAUGGAUGGCAAAAUAAAAGAGAACUUUGUUCCCUAUAAAUGUGUUUACUACCCUUUAAGGGUGAAGGUUAUUGUUUCACCAUUUUCUCAAUUAUAUUUCAUAUAUAUCUUCUAAUUUGCACAUUAAGGGUGUUUCUUUGCUGUGAUAUGGAUGAUAAAAUUUGAAUCGGAAAUGAUAUAUAUCUUCCACUCAAAUAUGAAGAAAUUUAAAUCAAGUGUCACCGUAAACUUACGUAGCGACGUUCUACGUUAUUUCGUUGCAUGCAAUUAAUGGCAGCUUUCUAUUAUUUAAAAAAAAAAUAGUACUUGAGUUUAUUUUAAGCAUAAAUAUUGCCAAUUCACCUCUUCUCAUAAUUCAUGUCUUCAAUAAAAAUUUCCUUUUGUGAAAAUCUUGCAAGGUUGUCUACGUUCCACUUUAGAAUUUUAUCUAAAAUCAAACAAAGUGUCAGAAAAUACUAAAUUAUACAUACAUACAUACAUACAUACAUAUAUAUAUAUAUAUGUGUAUAUAUAUAUAUAUAUGUGUGUAUAUAUAAUUCUAUAUUAUGGGUAUAUAUAUAAUAUUAUAUGUGCUAUAUAUAUAUUAUUUAUAUGGGCUCUAUAUAUAUAUAUAUAUAUGUGUGAUAUAUAUAUCAUAUGUAUAGUAUAUCAGAAAACAUCCGUAUUAUGUUAUAUAUGUAGAUAUAUAUAUAUGUAUAAGUAUAUAUACAUAUGUUAUAGAUAUGUAUAUAUAUCAUAUGUAUAUAUAAUAAUAUGUAUAAUAGUAAUAUUCAAAUAUAUUAUGUAUAUAUUAUAAUAUGUAUACAUAUGUAUUAUAUUAUAAUAUGUAUAUAAUAAUUGUUAUAAUAUGUAUAUAUACAUAUGUAUACAUAUGUAUAUGUAUACAUAUGUAUACAUAUACAUAUGUAUACAUAUACAUAUGUAUACAUAUGUAUAUAUAUAUAUAUAUGUAUAUAUAUACAUAUGUGUAUAUAUAUGAAAGGUGCCCCUAUUAAAAGUUUUGUACUUGAAUAGUUUCUAUAUGAAAAUUUUCCCUAAAUGUAACAAAACAUUUCCCCUUAGCCAGCUAAGUAACACUUAAUAUGACUAUUGAGUAAAUAUCUGGAAUGAACUUAAUUUGUAAGUAGAAGAGAGAUAGAUAUAGGAAGUAAAUGUCGGAGUUCGAGUGAUGUGCAUUUUCGCCAUCUCGGGUACGUGUACAAUUAAUACAAAUAACUCGUUAUUUCAAUGAAUCGAAGCACUUCCAUUUCUCGAAAGUUUUGUCAGCAUUAAUACUUGGUCUGUCAUGAAAGGUUAAUCUUCUUUUUUAUGUUUAAUCGUUUGUGCAAAUUUCAUCAAUCUAUGAACUAAGAGAGGAGAAGUCGAUAAAGUUAUUAAAAUCGUCUGCAGAUAAAUCAGAUCAAAUUGAUUUUGCCUGUUUCACUGAUCUUCUUUCUCAAAAUUGACCUAGUUUUUAUUCAAUUCUAGAAUUGUCUACAAAUCUACAUGCUCGAUAUAUCGUUGACGUUUCAAAGACAAUGCGGUACGAAUCAAGAGGUAAAAGAAGAGAUCACGGCAUUCAAGUACUUGCAUGAGUUAUAUGGAGUUGUGAAAAGUAGUUUGCAAAAAAUGACAAUAAUAAAUGUUGUGACAAAGUUAAAAUGUGGCAGUAAAUUAGCAGAGAAUUAAGAGGUGAUUAAUGGAGAGAUGUAAACGGGCUUCUUGGGCCAAGCCCAAGUUCAACUACCGGGUCUACCACUACGUCGACAUACACUACGUAAUGGCCCAUUUUAUGCCUGGCCCGGUUAGGCCCACCACCAUUGGGUACAUGUUGAGCCCAUUUUUCUCGUUAUCAAUUUUAGUAAAGUUUUUUUUUUUUUUUUUUUUUUUGUCAAAAAAGAAGAUCUAAGGGCACUACAGUAGAACAUAAUACUAUUUUACAAGAUUAUGUAGAAGAAACUAUUCUGUCACCACCACAAAUUUAGUAUGAAAAGAUAUACUUUCCGCGACUGUAAUACUAUGUGGUGAGAAAUAACUUGCUAUUGUGUAAACUCCAAAGUAGAUCUUUUGCUUUUCGAAAGCUUAUUCUAGCUUCUCGAUCUAGCUAGAAGUUUUAGAUUUUUCUGUUGCCCGAAAGACGCAUAAUCCAAAGUCUUGAACACAUCAGGAGAAGAUCAAAUUGCUUUGGUGGAACAAACAAAUAAAUUUAUCUCCUCUUUUUUCAACAAACUGAUGAUAUCAUUCUUAAAAUAAAAUUAGUGCAAACUCCUUUACUAAAAAAGAUAAGGACAAGGUAUCCACAUAAUCCAUGGUGAGAUACAUUUGCUCCUUGUUUCCUACAUUAGUUUAGUUUAUAUGAAAGGCAACUUUAAACAUAGUCCUGGGACCAAAAAAAAAAAAGAUAAAAAAAGAAAAAGGGAUUAUUUAUGCACAACCAUAACACGCGUACGCUUAAAAUCGCAAAGACCAACAACAACAACAAUGCUUUCGCUUUACUAAAAGCCUUUUGUCUCCACUCUCCACCCAAUUCACCAAAGCUUUUUUCCCUUUUUUAUUUUUUUAUGUUUUUUGGUUGUAUAUAUUAAGCACCCUUUGAGCUUUGACAAGUGGGAUAAACUUAAGUUCUCUUAUUCAAAUAAUAAUUUUGAGUGCCUCAAAAUGGAUUGUUUUAUUAAUUAGAUUUUGGCUCCAAUUAUCCGCCCUUUUUUAUGUCUUCUAAUGAUAAAAUAAAGUCAUUAAUUGGCUCCAAAAUAAAUUUGAUUCCUUAAAAAAUGAGCAAAAGAUUAGAAUGAGAGUUUGGAUUUCCUUACAUUAAUUUGUCGUUUCGGUAGGUUUAGUUUUUCCUUUUAAAGGUGUCAACCUAUUUGUUUAAGAUUUGUGUGAGGAUAAAGAGGAAAAUUUAAUUUGGAGUGAAUUGAGGAUAAAGAAAUGGAAUACAUUAAAUGAGAUGAAUUCACUUCAAUUUGAUACAUCCGCCCAAUCAAAAUACGAAAAGGUGUAUUAUCCAACAGUUUAAUUAUUCUCAAUUGUUACUGAUGGUAUCUAGUGUAUAUAAUUGACUAAGAAUUUGAUGAUUUGUGUUUGAGAUCAAAAGCUCCAUUGCUUUAUAUAUAUAUAUUGUCAAAUUUUACUGAUUAUAUCUAGUAUAGUUCGCUAAGAAUUUGAUCAUAUCUAGUAUAGUUGCCUAUGUUUAUUUUUUAAAAAUAUAAAUGGACCAAAUAAGGCUAAUUCUUUUUAGAAAAAAAAAAGGAGAAUAUUCUAGUUGUUUUAUCCGCACUAUACAGAUCAUGAUAUAUAUCUCUCAGAAUAGUAAUUCACGGCAUUGAACACUAUAUGGCCGUUUGAUUCGAUAUAGUUGUAAAUACUGUAUAGUUAAAAAUACAUACAGUUAAAAAUAUAACAGUUAUAUUUACACUAUUACAGUUGCAUUUCUUCUAUUUAAUAAUAUGGAGCUAAUAGUUCUAUUUGUAAAUCUCGUCACCUGAUUUUCAAAUCAAGUGGUGAGAUUACCUUUAUUAUACAUAAAAUAAUUGUAUAAUUUUAUUAAUUAUUUAAACUUACUGUUUAUUUAAUGGAUAUAUGUAAUGUUUUUGUAGUUUUUAAUAAUUCUUCAACUUAUCAAUCGAAAAAUUUAAAAUUUUUAAUAUAUUUAAUUUUAAUAUAUAAAUCAAACUUAAAAAAUUUAAAUGAUUCUCUCAUUUUUUUAAUCAAAGUUAAUAAUUAUAAUUAAUUAAAAUUUAUUAAAUUAACAUAUACGAUCACAUUCUAUAAAAAUUUAGAAAAAAAAUCUAUAUUUAUAUUUUAAAUAAAAUAAAUUUAAAAAAAUUAAUUUUUUGCACAAAGUUUGUAUUGUCUAAAAACUUUUAUUAGUACUAUGAAUUUAUUUACAAGUAUUUUUAUUUAUCCAUAUAUAUAUAUAUAUAUAUAUUAAUUAAUUAAUUAUUUAUUUAGCUAUUUAUUUAUUUAUUUAUUAUUGUUAAUUUGUGGGUGAUUCUAUUCCUCACCAACUGCGGCAGUUGGAACUGUAGCCAAUUUGGAUGUAAUUCCAACUAUAAUAUUUGCAACCAAACAGACCCUAUGUAGUAGCUGAAAGAAAUCCAAAAUUAAUAUAUCCAAAUUAUUGACUGUUUCUCGUACAAAUGCCAAAGACUUAAUAAUUGAUAUUUAAAAUUUUAAAUUUAAAAUUUAAUUAUUUUAUAUUGUUUACUAAAUUUAUUUAUU